UUAUUCCUGAACCAAUAACUCUGGCUAGAGGGACGGAAUAUGCUGUAGACUUAAGUUAAGCAAGACCUCUUCCUGGAACUGGGAGAAGGUCAUUUCAGCCUUAGCCACCUGGCUUGAAAGUCCAAGGUCCUGUAGGAAUGGAGAAUGGAGGCUGACAUGGCACACCUAUUCGCCGAGGCAUCACCUGGAUCCUACAGAGUCAGCCUUGGCCAUCAGUGAUGGUGAAAGCAACAGAUGUCAGAUGUCAGCCCCUGGCUUCCUGCCUUACCGUAGAGGGAUACUCGACAGACAGACUGGACAGAUCACUCAUGCUGGGGAAAGCCAGGUGUCAUGUCUUGGGGAAUCCAGGUGUUAUGUCUUAAGGACAGGCUGGCAGACCUGUGCAUACGCCCAUGUAGCGAGAAACUAGACCCUCAGCUCAAGACACUGAAAGAAACCUCAUGAAACAACUUGAAGCUCUGACCCUGAACCACCUAGCUAAACUGCUCUUAGAUACCUGAUUCUCAGAUACUAUUGAGAAAAUAAACAAUAAUUAUUUUAUG
This 542-nucleotide long non-coding RNA is filed under the name Homo sapiens (human). RNAcentral's name for it is "HSALNT0394355". The record is from RNAcentral. Lineage: Eukaryota; Metazoa; Chordata; Mammalia; Primates; Hominidae.